AAAAGUAACUGCGGUUUUUGA
Molecule: microRNA, 21 nt
Filed under: Homo sapiens (human)
Lineage: Eukaryota; Metazoa; Chordata; Mammalia; Primates; Hominidae
Description: hsa-miR-548ak
Gene: hsa-miR-548ak
Source: miRBase by way of RNAcentral